This 301-nucleotide ribosomal RNA is filed under the name uncultured bacterium. Its description in RNAcentral is "partial 16S ribosomal RNA". It matches the Rfam family "Bacterial small subunit ribosomal RNA", at positions 509 to 807 of the family's 1533-position model. The record is from RNAcentral.
CAGCAGCCGCGGUAAUACGUAGGGUGCGAGCGUUAAUCGGAAUUACUGGGCGUAAAGCGUGCGCAGGCGGUUUGUUAAGACAGAUGUGUAAUCCCCGGGCUCAACCUGGGAACUGCAUUUGUGACUGGCAAGCUAGAGUGUGGCAGAGGGGGGUGGAAUUCCGCGUGUAGCAGUGAAAUGCGUAGAUAUGCGGAGGAACACCGAUGGCGAAGGCAGCCCCCUGGGCCAACACUGACGCUCAUGCACGAAAGCGUGGGGAGCAAACAGGAUUAGAUACCCGCGUAGUCCCUGUCUCUUAUAC